UUUCCGUAGGUGAACCUGCGGAAGGAUCAUUCAUAAUAAAGUGUUUUAUGGCACUUUUUAAAAAUCCAUAUCCACCUUGUGUGCAAUGUUAGAUCUCGUCAAUCUUGGCGAGAUUUUUGUACAUCAACUCAUUUUUUAACUAAUUUGUCUGAAAAAUAUUAUGAAUACUUAAUUCAAAAUACAACUUUCAGCAACGGAUCUCUCGGCUCUCGCAUCGGUGAAGAACGCAGC
RNAcentral lists this unclassified non-coding RNA (231 nucleotides) under plant metagenome. RNAcentral's name for it is "partial contains small subunit ribosomal RNA, internal transcribed spacer 1, and 5.8S ribosomal RNA". The stretch from base 183 to 231 matches the Rfam family "5.8S ribosomal RNA", at positions 1 to 49 of the family's 154-position model. The record is from RNAcentral.